RNAcentral lists this unclassified non-coding RNA (329 nucleotides) under soil metagenome. RNAcentral describes it as "partial contains 5.8S ribosomal RNA, internal transcribed spacer 2, and large subunit ribosomal RNA". The stretch from base 1 to 120 matches the Rfam family "5.8S ribosomal RNA", at positions 35 to 154 of the family's 154-position model. The record is from RNAcentral.
GAUGAAGAACGUAGCGAAAUGCGAUAAGUAAUGUGAAUUGCAGAAUUCAGUGAAUCAUCGAAUCUUUGAACGCACAUUGCGCCCCUUGGUAUUCCGGGGGGCAUGCCUGUUCGAGCGUCAUUAUCACCCCUCAAGCUCAGCUUGGUGUUGGGGCCUGCUGCACUGGCAGCCCUUAAAAUCAGUGGCGGCGCCAUCUGGCUCUAAGCGUAGUAAUUCUUCUCGCUAUGGAGUCCUGGUGGAUGCUUGCCAUCAACCCCCAAUUUUUCUAUGGUUGACCUCGGAUCAGGUAGGGAUACCCGCUGAACUUAAGCAUAUCAAUAAGCGGAGGA